CUUUGGAUUACAAUUUUGGUUUUAAAUUAUGGAUGCUGGCUUGGAGUUGGUUUGCUGAAGGCGGAUUUGUGAGUAACUUUGCUCUAGGGUUGUAAAGUGAAUGGUGGAAUAACAUGUGUACAUAUUGCCCGUCGCUCUCGUUAUUUUUGAGAUAAGUCGUAACAUAGUUGGUGCACUGGAAAGUGUGUCUUUUUGU
Molecule: ribosomal RNA, 196 nt
Filed under: Dicellarius atlanta
Lineage: Eukaryota; Metazoa; Arthropoda; Diplopoda; Polydesmida; Xystodesmidae
Description: partial small subunit ribosomal RNA
Source: RNAcentral